GACGAACGCUGGCGGCGUGCCUAAUACAUGCAAGUCGAACGCAUUUUCUUUCACCGUAGCUUGCUACACCGAAAGAAAAUGAGUGGCGAACGGGUGAGUAACACGUGGGUAACCUGCCCAUCAGCGGGGGAUAACACUUGGAAACAGGUGCUAAUACCGCAUAAUUCCAUUUACUGCAUGGUAGAUGGAUGAAAGGCGCUUUUGCGUCCCUGAUGGAUGGACCCGCGGUGCAUUAGCUAGUUGGUGGGGUAACGGCCUACCAAGGCUGCGAUGCAUAGCCGACCUGAGAGGGUGAUCGGCCACACUGGGACUGAGACACGGCCCAGACUCCUACGGGAGGCAGCAGUAGGGAAUCUUCGGCAAUGGACGCAAGUCUGACCGAGCAACGCCGCGUGAGUGAAGAAGGUUUUCGGAUCGUAAAACUCUGUUGUUAGAAAAGAACAAGGAUGAGAGUGGAAAGUUCAUCCCUUGACGGUAUCUAACCAGAAAGCCACGGCUAACUACGUG
RNAcentral lists this ribosomal RNA (507 nucleotides) under uncultured bacterium. RNAcentral's name for it is "partial 16S ribosomal RNA". It matches the Rfam family "Bacterial small subunit ribosomal RNA", at positions 28 to 507 of the family's 1533-position model. The record is from RNAcentral.